Unclassified non-coding RNA from Vulpes vulpes (red fox), 317 nucleotides. Its record names the gene 7SK. It matches the Rfam family "7SK RNA". From Rfam's summary of the family: 7SK was discovered as an abundant small nuclear RNA in the mid-70s but a possible function has only recently been suggested. Two independent studies have found that 7SK RNA binds the CDK9/cyclin T complex (known as elongation factor P-TEFb). Lineage: Eukaryota; Metazoa; Chordata; Mammalia; Carnivora; Canidae. The record is from Ensembl.
GGAUGUGAGGGCGAUCUGGCUGCGACAUCUGUCACCGCAUUGAUCGCCAUGGUUGAUUCCGCUGAUCUGGCUGGCUAGGCAGGUGUCCCCUUCCUCCCUCACCACUCCAUGUGCUUCCCUCCCCAUGCUGCGUGCUCGGUCGAAGAGGACGACCAUCACCCAUAGAGGAGGACCGUUCUUCCAUCAAGGGUAUACGAGUAGCUGCGCUCCCCUGCUAGAACCUCCAAAACAAGCUCUCAAGAUCUUAGCACUAUUGUAAAAAUAGUUUUGACCUCUCAGAUGGCCUUGAAAGGAUCAUGGAAACCAUCAGGGCCUUU